Molecule: long non-coding RNA, 994 nt
Organism: Salvia splendens (bonfire salvia)
Lineage: Eukaryota; Viridiplantae; Streptophyta; Magnoliopsida; Lamiales; Lamiaceae
Exons: 5
Source: RefSeq, a predicted model, not a curated record
AGUAUAAUUCGAACAAUUCAUAAAUUUGUUUGAAAAUGAAAAUGAAGUGUAGUGCACAUAUUGAGUUGAAUUUUUAUUCAAUGUAUGGCGGCUUAGGGUUUAGCUUAAUUUUUUUUUCCCAUGUGUCGAUUUAGUUACGAAUAGAAGAAAGACGUCUCAUUGUGAUAAAUGAUGGGUGUUGCUUGUUAUGAAAAGAAGAAAGAUCUGGUUUGACUCAGAAUUAGCUACUGAGAUUAAUUAGUAGUUGAUGAAUACGCUACAGGAUGCUGUGAUUCUCGGAGCAACUGAAGGCUGAGUAUCUUAGAAAUUCAAUUCUUGAUUCAUAUAUUUGCUAAUUAGUAGGUGUUAAGUAUCGACUCAUUGUGUCAAAAAUAUCUACUAGUACUGAUAUUUUGUCUUGUUUUGUAUGAUUGUGCCAUUUCAUAGGCAUGGUUUAGUUCCCAGCUGAAGCUGCACUUAAACUUGCUGCUAUGGGUGUUCUUGACUCUUGAGUCUAGAGGGAUGAAGGAAUUGAAAUGGUUGCUGAUGCUAUCUGCUCUGGGAUAUUUAAUGAUCUUGGCAGCGCCAACAACGUUGAUGGAAGCGAGACUGCUCAUUGCCAAAUCCCCACACAUAUGUUUGAGAAGGGCUAUUUGAGAAACCGGCAAGUGUCUUCUUGUCUGACUAGCUAGCGAAGCUCAGGGGUGCUCUGCGUAUGUGAGUCGAUCUUAAGCAUUAGUCGACCCCUGCAAUGGUUUCAUUCAGGCGACAUAAUCUUCAAGACUAGCAGCAGUUGAUGGCUAAGGAUACAGCUUUAUUCUGGUUGUGAUGAUGCUCCUGCAAAUCGGACAGUCUUCGAGGUACACUCCACACUCACAACAGCCAAAAGCCAUGUCUUUCACGUUGCUGAGGCAUAUGGGACAGAUCUAUUCAAGAAAACACAAUCCCAGCUCAUAAACACAAGCUUAAAACAGAUAUGGAUUGUCAGAAUCACAAGACACCAUGUUUAGGAGGA